This 428-nucleotide ribosomal RNA is filed under the name uncultured bacterium. Its description in RNAcentral is "bacterial SSU rRNA". It matches the Rfam family "Bacterial small subunit ribosomal RNA", at positions 608 to 1029 of the family's 1533-position model. The record is from RNAcentral.
CUCAACCGGGGAACCGCGGGGCGAACUGCGCGGCUUGAGACAGGUAGAGGUCGUCGGAACGCUAGGUGGAGCGGUGAAAUGCGUAGAUAUCUAGCGGAACGCCGAUGGGGAAGUCAGACGACUGGGCCUGUACUGACGCUGAGGCACGAAAGCGUGGGUAGCGAACGGGAUUAGAUACCCCGGUAGUCCACGCCCUAAACGAUGUGCACUAGGCCGGGGCCGUUCUGAUGCGGUCUCGGCCGCAGAGAAAUCGCUAAGUGCACCGCCUGGGGAGUACGGUCGCAAGGCUAAAACUCAAAGGAAUUGACGGGGGCUCACACAAGCGGUGGAGCAUGUUGCUUAAUUCGAAGCAACGCGAAGAACCUUACCAGGGCUUGACAUGCACGGAUUAGUCCCGAGAAAUCGGGGUGACGCCUUCGGGUGGAACG